AUUACCGCGGCUGCUGGCACGUAGUUAGCCGGUGCUUAUUCUUCCAGUACCGUCAUCCCCAUCCAGUAUUAAUGAAUGGGAUUUCUUCCCGGACAAAAGAGCUUUACAACCCGAAGGCCUUCUUCACUCACGCGGCAUUGCUGGAUCAGGGUUGCCCCCAUUGUCCAAAAUUCCCCACUGCUGCCUCCCGUAGGAGU
Molecule: ribosomal RNA, 197 nt
Filed under: uncultured bacterium
Lineage: Bacteria
Description: partial 16S ribosomal RNA
Source: RNAcentral